UGGCGGGGAAAAUUGGAUCUUUGUUCUUUACUGAUUGAAAUUAAAAUUAGUAUUUGAACCUAGAUAGAAACGGGAAUUCAUUAGCCUAGGACUUAUCACGAUCUAUUACAAAUUGAUUUUUUCAUCACGUCGUUUACCAUGUCGCAAGAAACGUUACGAUACAGGAUAUGGUGUUUUAGUUGUUAGUUGCUAUAGUCAAAUGAGAAGUCAUCACUCCACUAGGUUCAAUUUCAGAUGAAACAUGUCCACGGGUCUGCGUAUCAGUCCUCUCCGCUUGCCUAAGCCGAUGACGUAGACUUUUUUUUACGACCAAAAGUUAACUUGAAACACUAUUCUGCGAUUCAACUAUCUUGUUUACAUAAACGAAAUUAUCCUUAAUGAAAGACCAGGCAUAGUGCUUCGAAAAUGACUGCUCAUAUCCUCAGCCUUGUUAUAUUUGGAUACUUCCGAGUUAAACUGUUGCUAUUUUUUUCUUUUGUCAAAAUGAUGUGGAUGCUUGAGCAUCUGAGCAUACAUGCAAGCUACG
This 526-nucleotide long non-coding RNA is filed under the name Mytilus galloprovincialis (Mediterranean mussel). The record is from RNAcentral. Lineage: Eukaryota; Metazoa; Mollusca; Bivalvia; Mytilida; Mytilidae.